This 73-nucleotide transfer RNA is filed under the name Madascincus minutus. RNAcentral's name for it is "tRNA-Ile". The record is from RNAcentral. Lineage: Eukaryota; Metazoa; Chordata; Lepidosauria; Squamata; Scincidae.
CGGAAAUGUGCCCGAGCCCUCAAGGAUUACUUUGAUAGAGUACACCACAGGAGUUAAAUCCUCCUCAUUUCCU